This 460-nucleotide ribosomal RNA is filed under the name uncultured bacterium. RNAcentral's name for it is "partial 16S ribosomal RNA". It matches the Rfam family "Bacterial small subunit ribosomal RNA", at positions 338 to 795 of the family's 1533-position model. The record is from RNAcentral.
CCUACGGGUGGCAGCAGUGAGGAAUAUUGCUCAAUGGGCGGGAGCCUGAACCAGCCAAGUCGCGUGAGGGAAGACGGUCCUAUGGAUUGUAAACCUCUUUAGGCGGGGAGCAAUGCCGGGCACGUGUGCCCGGAGGGAGAGUACCCGCAGAAUAAGCAUCGGCUCACUCCGUGCCAGCAGCCGCGGUAAUACCGAGGAUGCGAGCGUUAUCCGGAUUUAUUGGGUUUAAAGGGUGCGUAGGCGGAUUUUUAAGUCAGCGGUAAAAUGUCCGGGCUCAACCCGGGCCGGCCGUUGAAACUGGGGAGCUUGAGUGGGCGAGAAGUAUGCGGAAUGCGUGGUGUAGCGGUGAAAUGCGUAGAUAUCACGCGGAACUCCGGUUGCGAAGGCAGCAUACCGGCGCGCGACUGACGCUGAGGCACGAAAGCGUGGGGAUCGAACAGGAUUAGAUACCCGGGUAGUC